CCUACGGGAGGCAGCAGUGGGGAAUAUUGGACAAUGGGCGCAAGCCUGAUCCAGCAAUGCCACGUGAGUGAUGAAGGCCUUAGGGUCGUAAAGCUCUUUUACCAGGGAUGAUAAUGACAGUACCUGGAGAAUAAGCUCCGGCUAACUCCGUGCCAGCAGCCGCGGUAAUACGGAGGGAGCUAGCGUUGUUCGGAAUUACUGGGCGUAAAGCGUACGUAGGCGGUUAUUCAAGUCAGAGGUGAAAGCCCGGGGCUCAACCCCGGAACGGCCUUUGAAACUAGGUAGCUAGAAUCUUGGAGAGGUCAGUGGAAUUCCGAGUGUAGAGGUGAAAUUCGUAGAUAUUCGGAAGAACACCAGUGGCGAAGGCGACUGACUGGACAAGUAUUGACGCUGAGGUACGAAAGCGUGGGGAGCAAACAGGAUUAGAUACCCUGGUAGUCCACGCCGUAAACGAUGAUAACUAGCUGUCCGGGCACUUGGUGCCUGGGUGGCGCAGCUAACGCAUUAAGUUAUCCGCCUGGGGAGUACGGUCGCAGAUUAAAACUUAAAGGAAUUAGACGG
RNAcentral lists this ribosomal RNA (561 nucleotides) under uncultured bacterium. RNAcentral describes it as "bacterial SSU rRNA". It matches the Rfam family "Bacterial small subunit ribosomal RNA", at positions 338 to 917 of the family's 1533-position model. The record is from RNAcentral.